Long non-coding RNA from Alnus glutinosa, 914 nucleotides. RefSeq lists it as uncharacterized. NCBI's taxonomy places the organism in Eukaryota, Viridiplantae, Streptophyta, Magnoliopsida, Fagales, Betulaceae. The transcript is spliced from 2 exons. The record is from RefSeq and is a predicted model, not a curated record.
UGAAACCCCUCUCCUCUCUCUCUCUCUAGCUCGCUCUCUGGCCGGCCACCUUUUCCUCUCAUUUUUCCGGCGGUUUCUCUAUCUCUGGCAGCCUCUUUGGCGGUGUUCUCUGUCUCGGGCGGCGGAAUCCAUCUCCGAUAUUCUAAUCGGUCAAUGACCUCUUCCAUCCUCGGUUGUAUCUCCUUGGCAAAAGGAUUAAGAAGAACAGAGACCGAGUUUCGUACCUUUAUUGCAGUGGUUCGAGAUUCAGCAGCCAGCUCGCGUCUCUGGAUUUCCGUAUCAAUCUCAUCCAACAUGUCUUCGGCAUCAAAAACAGCAUCUUUCAGCUCAUCGAGCCACUCUUUCACAGCAAGCUUCCUGAGUUCCUUAUCCUCCGCGUCCUCCAGCACCGCAUUCACAGACAGCAAUGCUAUCUUCAGUUUUCUUAAGGGCCCAUCGAUCGGCGAGUUUUCGUCCCCAAAAGAUGUCAAAGACCUCUCGAGUCAUUUUUUCAAAUAACUCCUGCAAGACUACAGAGAGAAGCGCUCCGCCCACAACAUCGGCCAUGUUUUCUUCUUUGCAGCGGAAAAACAAUCGAAGGAAAUGAAUAAAAGUGCUCUGUAGAUUAAAUCAUGAAAGGUCAUUUGGGAAUACGAAGAAGGAAAAAGAUUUCUGCACAAUAAUAUUGCAUAAUAAAUGUACAACAUAUAAGAUACAUGGGUCUCACUUAUGCAAUGUGUGUUUUUUUUCUUUUUUCUUUUUUUUUUUUCCUUUUUUUUUUUCCUUCUUUUAAGGUAAGUGUAUGUUUUCUUAACUUAUCAAGGAAAUACAUCUGUUUUCCAGUUUCGGAUACACCUUCUAAAGUUUCUUGGACCAAGAUAUUCUUCAUGAAAUGGGUCAUAUAUAAUAGUUUAUAUGUGUGUGUCCCUCAUGUA